Molecule: non-coding RNA, 258 nt
Organism: Vicia faba (fava bean)
Lineage: Eukaryota; Viridiplantae; Streptophyta; Magnoliopsida; Fabales; Fabaceae
Source: the annotation of a GenBank genome assembly
AUGAGUCGUGAAAAGGACUGGUGUGAUCUAUUUGUUGUACAGGACAAUAACAUGGCAGCAAUUAAUAUACCAGCACUACAUAUUGAGAAUUACAAUGUCAUGAAUGGUGUUUGGUUUAUGUGUAGAAAUGUUGUUUCUUCGGACAUGUCAGAGCAUAAGGUUAGUGAAAAUCACUUGACCAUGAAGAGUUUCAAGAUCUAUAUGGAAGGACCAAGGCCACGGCUUGAAGAAAGGGAUGAAUUUUUGUUGAUGGCAUGA